CCGUGCUAGGUGGGGAAUUAGCGGUGCCCUGUAACUUGCAAUCCGCUCUAGCAAGACUGAAGUCCUUUUAGAGGCUAUUCGUAUUGUAAAGUCUGCCUCUUGCACGCAGUGUUGACAUUUGGGUCCUGCGCAAUGAAAACCCAUGAACCAUGUCAGGUCCGGAAGGAAGCAGCAUUAAGUGGACUCUUUCAUGUGCCGUGGGGUCGCCUGAAUCGAGCUAGCGACAAGAGUAACGUUUAUGUGCGGUAGUCGACUUAAGGUGCACGG
RNAcentral lists this signal recognition particle RNA (267 nucleotides) under Planococcaceae bacterium Storch 2/2-2. Its description in RNAcentral is "Bacterial large signal recognition particle RNA". It matches the Rfam family "Bacterial large signal recognition particle RNA". Rfam says of the family: The signal recognition particle (SRP) is a universally conserved ribonucleoprotein involved in the co-translational targeting of proteins to membranes. Archaeal SRP consists of a 7S RNA and homologues of the eukaryotic SRP19 and SRP54 proteins. In most bacteria, the SRP consists of a 4.5S RNA and the Ffh protein (a homologue of the eukaryotic SRP54 protein). Lineage: Bacteria; Bacillati; Bacillota; Bacilli; Caryophanales; Caryophanaceae. The record is from Rfam by way of RNAcentral. RNAcentral also lists the same sequence under 2 other names.